This 464-nucleotide ribosomal RNA is filed under the name uncultured bacterium. RNAcentral's name for it is "partial 16S ribosomal RNA". It matches the Rfam family "Bacterial small subunit ribosomal RNA", at positions 339 to 795 of the family's 1533-position model. The record is from RNAcentral.
CUACGGGACGCACCAGUGGGGAAUAUUGGACAAUGGGGGCAACCCUGAUCCAGCAAUGCCGCGUGUGUGAAGAAGGCCUGCGGGUUGUAAAGCACUUUCAGUAGGGAGGAAUAGUUCGUUGCUAAUAUCAACGAGCAAUGACGUUACCUAAAGAAGAAGCACCGGCUAACUCUGUGCCAGCAGCCGCGGUAAUACAGAGGGUGCAAGCGUUAAUCGGAAUUACUGGGCGUAAAGCGCACGUAGGUGGAUAAGUAGGUUGGAUGUGAAAGCCCUGGGCUUAACCUGGGAAUGCCAUUCAAAACCACUUGUCUAGAGUAUAGUAGAGGAAAGUGGAAUUUCCGGUGUAGCGGUGAAAUGCGUAGAUAUCGGAAGGAACACCAGUGGCGAAGGCGACUUUCUGGACUAAUACUGACACUGAGGUGCGAAAGCGUGGGGAGCAAACAGGAUUAGAUACCCCAGUAGUC